GCCAAUGUGGCUCAGGGGUAGAGCAGCUCACUCGUAAUGAGCAGGUCGUCGGUUCGAUUCCGACCAUUGGCU
Transfer RNA from Desulfitobacterium dichloroeliminans LMG P-21439, 72 nucleotides. It matches the Rfam family "tRNA". Rfam says of the family: Transfer RNA (tRNA) molecules are approximately 80 nucleotides in length. Their secondary structure includes four short double-helical elements and three loops (D, anti-codon, and T loops). Lineage: Bacteria; Bacillati; Bacillota; Clostridia; Eubacteriales; Desulfitobacteriaceae. The record is from Rfam.